UACGUAGGGUGCAAGCGUUAAUCGGAAUUACUGGGCGUAAAGCGUGCGCAGGCGGUUUUGUAAGUCUGUCGUGAAAUCCCCGGGCUCAACCUGGGAAUUGCAUUUGUGACUGCACGGCUAGAGUGUGUCAGAGGGGGGUAGAAUUCCACGUGUAGCAGUGAAAUGCGUAGAGAUGUGGAGGAAUACCGAUGGCGAAGGCAGCCCCCUGGGAUAACACUGACGCUCAUGCACGAAAGCGUGGGGAGCAAACAGG
This 253-nucleotide ribosomal RNA is filed under the name uncultured bacterium. Its description in RNAcentral is "partial 16S ribosomal RNA". It matches the Rfam family "Bacterial small subunit ribosomal RNA", at positions 524 to 776 of the family's 1533-position model. The record is from RNAcentral.